This 253-nucleotide ribosomal RNA is filed under the name uncultured bacterium. Its description in RNAcentral is "partial 16S ribosomal RNA". It matches the Rfam family "Bacterial small subunit ribosomal RNA", at positions 524 to 776 of the family's 1533-position model. The record is from RNAcentral.
UACGUAGGGUGCAAGCGUUAAUCGGAAUUACUGGGCGUAAAGCGUGCGCAGGCGGUUGUGCAAGACAGAGGUGAAAUCCCCGGGCUCAACCUGGGAAUGGCCUUUGUGACUGCAUGGCUAGAGUGUGUCAGAGGGGGGUAGAAUUCCACGUGUAGCAGUGAAAUGCGUAGAGAUGUGGAGGAAUACCGAUGGCGAAGGCAGCCCCCUGGGAUAACACUGACGCUCAAGCACGAAAGCGUGGGGAGCAAACAGG